UACAGAGGGUGCAAGCGUUAAUCGGAAUUACUGGGCGUAAAGCGCGCGUAGGUUGUUGUGUAAGUUGGAUGUGAAAGCCCCGGGCUUAACCUGGGAACUGCAUUCAAAACUGCACGGCUAGAGUACGGGAGAGGGGGGUAGAAUUCCAGGUGUAGCGGUGAAAUGCGUAGAGAUCUGGAGGAAUACCGAUGGCGAAGGCAGCCCCCUGGCCUGAUACUGACACUGAGGUGCGAAAGCAUGGGGAGCAAACAGG
This 253-nucleotide ribosomal RNA is filed under the name uncultured bacterium. RNAcentral's name for it is "partial 16S ribosomal RNA". It matches the Rfam family "Bacterial small subunit ribosomal RNA", at positions 524 to 776 of the family's 1533-position model. The record is from RNAcentral.